RNAcentral lists this unclassified non-coding RNA (380 nucleotides) under uncultured bacterium. RNAcentral describes it as "contains 16S-23S intergenic spacer region". The record is from RNAcentral.
UCCGGUUUGGCACCGGCAGUCUCCCUAGAGUGCCCGGCAUGACCCGCUGGUAACUAGGGACGGGGGUUGCGCUCGUUGCGGGACUUAACCCAACAUCUCACGACACGAGCUGACGACAGCCAUGCAGCACCUGUGCGCGGACUCCGAAGAGGGCCCCCCGUUUCUGGGGGGUUUCCCGCGCAUGUCAAGCCCAGGUAAGGUUCUUCGCGUUGCGUCGAAUUAAACCACAUGCUCCACCGCUUGUGCGGGCCCCCGUCGAUUCCUUUGAGUUUUAGCCUUGCGGCCGUACUCCCCAGGCGGGGCACUUAAUGCGUUAGCUUCGGCACGGACGGAGUCGACACCGCCCACACCUAGCACCCAUCGUUUACGGCGUGGACUAC